RNAcentral lists this non-coding RNA (31 nucleotides) under Homo sapiens (human). The record is from RNAcentral. Lineage: Eukaryota; Metazoa; Chordata; Mammalia; Primates; Hominidae.
UGGGAGGGCCUACUUUUGGGGUGACAUCCCU